This is a long non-coding RNA of Dreissena polymorpha, 724 nucleotides long. RefSeq lists it as uncharacterized. NCBI's taxonomy places the organism in Eukaryota, Metazoa, Mollusca, Bivalvia, Myida, Dreissenidae. The record is from RefSeq and is a predicted model, not a curated record. The transcript has 6 exons.
CUCUAGUCUCUAACCAGGUUGGGCAAUAAUGUGACCUCUAGUCUCUGACCAGGUUGGGCAAUAAUGUGACCUCUAGUCUUUGACCAGGUUGGGCAAUAAUGUGACCUCUAGUCUCUGACCAGGUUGGGCAAUAUUGUUACCUUUAAUCUCUGACAAGGUGGGGCAAUAAUGUGACCUCUAGUCUCUGACCAGGUUGGGCAAUAAUGUGACCUCUAGUCUCUGACCAGGUUGGGCAAUAAUGUGACCUCUAAUCUCUGACCAGGUUCGGCAAUAAUGUAACCUCUAGUCUUUGACCAGGUUGGGAAAUAAUGUGACCUCUAGUCUCUGACCAGGUUGGGCAAUAUUGCUACCUUUAAUCUCUGACCAGGUGGGGCAAUAAUGUGACCUCUAGUCUCUGACCAGGUUGGGCAAUAAUGUGACCUCUAGUCUCUGACCAGGUUGGGCAAUAAUGUGACCUCUAGUCUCUGACCAGGUUGGGCAAUAAUGUGACCUCUAGUCUCUGACCAGGUUGGGCAAUAAUGUGACCUCUAAUCUCUGACCAGGUUGGGCAAUAAUGUGACCUCUAGUCUCUUACCAGGUUGGGCAAUAAUGUGACCUCUAGUCUCUUACCAGGUUGGGCAAUAAUGUGACCUCUAGUCUCUGACCAGGUUGGGCAAUAAUGUGACCUCUAGUCUCUGACCAGGUUGGGCAAUAAUGUGACCUCUAGUCUUUGACCAGGUUGGGC